RNAcentral lists this ribosomal RNA (344 nucleotides) under uncultured bacterium. RNAcentral's name for it is "bacterial SSU rRNA". It matches the Rfam family "Bacterial small subunit ribosomal RNA", at positions 8 to 334 of the family's 1533-position model. The record is from RNAcentral.
AGAGUUUGAUUAUGGCUCAGGAUGAACGCUGGCGGCGUGCUUAACACAUGCAAGUCGAACGAAGCAAUCUAACGGAAGUUUUCGGAUGGAAGCUAGAUUGACUGAGUGGCGGACGGGUGAGUAACGCGUGGGUAACCUGCCUCACACUGGGGGACAACAGUUAGAAAUGACUGCUAAUACCGCAUAAGCGCACAGGACCGCAUGGUCCGGUGUGAAAAACUCCGGUGGUGUGAGAUGGACCCGCGUUUGAUUAGCUAGUUGGUGGGGUAACGGCCUACCAAGGCGACGAUCAAUAGCCGACCUGAGAGGGUGACCGGCCACAUUGGGACUGAGACACGGCCCAA